GAUGAACGCUAGCGGGAGGCUUAACACAUGCAAGUCGAGGGGCAGCACGAGGUAGCAAUACUUUGGUGGCGACCGGCGCACGGGUGAGUAACGCGUAUGUAACCUACCCUGUACAGGGGGAUAGCCCGGAGAAAUUCGGAUUAAUACCCCAUAAUGAUAUCGAGAGGCAUCUUUUGAUAUUUAAAGUUUCGGCGGUACGGGAUGGGCAUGCGUGACAUUAGCUAGUUGGUAGGGUAACGGCCUACCAAGGCUGCGAUGUCUAGGGGUCCUGAGAGGGUGAUCCCCCA
This 287-nucleotide ribosomal RNA is filed under the name uncultured Bacteroidota bacterium. Its description in RNAcentral is "uncultured Bacteroidetes bacterium partial 16S ribosomal RNA". It matches the Rfam family "Bacterial small subunit ribosomal RNA", at positions 28 to 310 of the family's 1533-position model. The record is from RNAcentral. Lineage: Bacteria; Pseudomonadati; Bacteroidota.